UCAAUGGGCACCAGCCAGCACUGAGCGGAGGAUUCCAAGAAGGAAGGCAGCUACAUAUUCGAAUUAGGGUUCCCACUUACGCAUCGCCAAAAGAAGAUGACGACACAGAUGCUGCGUGAAGUUCCAGUAAUAAAUGGAAAGCUCCUAACGUUCUACAAAAGACCUUGCUUUCUUCUUUUCCUUCUCUGAAGCACAAACAGCGGGAACAAGGAGACAGGGGGCGCGCAUCCAACUGCUCAUCAGAAGACACCUGCUCGCGAGCAACAGGCUCGAGGUCAGAGGGCGCUGCCGCACUGGAAUCCUCCUGGGAACUGCUUGGAAAAGGAGGAGCUGGCACUGACUCUGAAACUUCCCCCCACCCGUUCUCUGCAUCAACUGGGGGCGGUGCGCUCGGCUCCUUGGGAAGGGCGUUACUCGUGGGAACUGGCUGGAGAGCAGGCUGCCCUCCUCCCGUUCGCUCCUGCUCAGACACAACAAUCCCCAACUCUGCUUCUUCUGGCUGCGGAGGUGCCUGAAACUCAUGCCUCCCCCCUUCCUGUCCCUUCUGAGUUGGCUGCAGUGUAACACUGGGUGACAAGGCUGAGCCCACCUGCCCUUCCGACUGCUGUUCAUCCAUCCCAAGCGGAAGAUCAGCAAACACACACUGACCCCAAUGACACUCUCCUCUCCACGAGAGGGAAGGGAAGAGCCAUCACUCCUGACUCUCCAUCCAGAGCUGCCAGAUUCAGGGAAAAGGGAGGCCCUCCCUCGGCCAGCCUGUGUUCCAGUGUCUCAGCCUUCCCCAUCCAAUCCUCCUCUUCUUCCUCGUCCUCCUACACAGUUUGCCAGCCCAAGCCUGAUCCUGAUGUAAGGAUGGGGGGGGACUCAAUUCCAUUUGCAUUUAAAGCCAAAUUUAUCAAAUUUGCAUUUUCCAAAACAUGUGAACCGAAACACAGCCAUCCUUCGAAAUGUGCAGUUAUCUGAAUUUUGUGAUGCAGUUCACCAACUAAGCAAUGUUUGCAAAAAUGCAUAUAUUACAGGAAAGUGUGCAUCAAAACUGAAUAUAUUAGUGAAAAUAACAUACAAAAAUGCACUGUAUUAAGAGAAACUGCUUGCAAAAAAAUGUGUACAAUAGCCAAAACUGCAUACAAAAAUGUGGUUAAUAAGAGAAAUUCUCAGCAAAAUGCUGGAGAAUUUUCACGAGGAUUUAAUCUCAAAAUUGCGCAGAAAUGUGAGAACUGAAUUCAAGACUGGACAAAUGAGAAACUAAGAAAAGCAAAAUGUACAGAUCCUUCCGUCCUUACCCCGAUGGUAUCUUGUCGCUCAUGACAUACAGCUCCCAUCAUCCCUAUCAUAUAAACGUUUGGUAUAAACGCUGUGUGUAGUAAUGCUAACAUUAUUGAUGUUUUGCUGAAUGCCUAUCCUAAUAUACCCAAUCAAGCAGCGAACUUCAGAUGUUGCUGGACUCCAGCUCCCAUCAGCCCCAGCAGGCAUGGCUGAGAGUCAAGGGAUGAUGGGAGUUGUAGUACAACAAGAUCUGGAGGUUCUCCAUCCCUGUGGUGCAAUAUCACAGAGAGAUUCCUGGAUCCCACUGCCAGA
Long non-coding RNA from Rhineura floridana, 1578 nucleotides. RefSeq lists it as uncharacterized. The transcript has 3 exons. NCBI's taxonomy places the organism in Eukaryota, Metazoa, Chordata, Lepidosauria, Squamata, Rhineuridae. The record is from RefSeq and is a predicted model, not a curated record.